Molecule: ribosomal RNA, 1128 nt
Filed under: Lacticaseibacillus paracasei subsp. paracasei
Lineage: Bacteria; Bacillati; Bacillota; Bacilli; Lactobacillales; Lactobacillaceae
Description: bacterial SSU rRNA
Rfam family: Bacterial small subunit ribosomal RNA
Source: RNAcentral
CGGGAGGCAGCAGUAGGGAAUCUUCCACAAUGGACGCAAGUCUGAUGGAGCAACGCCGCGUGAGUGAAGAAGGCUUUCGGGUCGUAAAACUCUGUUGUUGGAGAAGAAUGGUCGGCAGAGUAACUGUUGUCGGCGUGACGGUAUCCAACCAGAAAGCCACGGCUAACUACGUGCCAGCAGCCGCGGUAAUACGUAGGUGGCAAGCGUUAUCCGGAUUUAUUGGGCGUAAAGCGAGCGCAGGCGGUUUUUUAAGUCUGAUGUGAAAGCCCUCGGCUUAACCGAGGAAGCGCAUCGGAAACUGGGAAACUUGAGUGCAGAAGAGGACAGUGGAACUCCAUGUGUAGCGGUGAAAUGCGUAGAUAUAUGGAAGAACACCAGUGGCGAAGGCGGCUGUCUGGUCUGUAACUGACGCUGAGGCUCGAAAGCAUGGGUAGCGAACAGGAUUAGAUACCCUGGUAGUCCAUGCCGUAAACGAUGAAUGCUAGGUGUUGGAGGGUUUCCGCCCUUCAGUGCCGCAGCUAACGCAUUAAGCAUUCCGCCUGGGGAGUACGACCGCAAGGUUGAAACUCAAAGGAAUUGACGGGGGCCCGCACAAGCGGUGGAGCAUGUGGUUUAAUUCGAAGCAACGCGAAGAACCUUACCAGGUCUUGACAUCUUUUGAUCACCUGAGAGAUCAGGUUUCCCCUUCGGGGGCAAAAUGACAGGUGGUGCAUGGUUGUCGUCAGCUCGUGUCGUGAGAUGUUGGGUUAAGUCCCGCAACGAGCGCAACCCUUAUGACUAGUUGCCAGCAUUUAGUUGGGCACUCUAGUAAGACUGCCGGUGACAAACCGGAGGAAGGUGGGGAUGACGUCAAAUCAUCAUGCCCCUUAUGACCUGGGCUACACACGUGCUACAAUGGAUGGUACAACGAGUUGCGAGACCGCGAGGUCAAGCUAAUCUCUUAAAGCCAUUCUCAGUUCGGACUGUAGGCUGCAACUCGCCUACACGAAGUCGGAAUCGCUAGUAAUCGCGGAUCAGCACGCCGCGGUGAAUACGUUCCCGGGCCUUGUACACACCGCCCGUCACACCAUGAGAGUUUGUAACACCCGAAGCCGGUGGCGUAACCCUUUUAGGGAGCGAGCCGUCUAA